CGUAGGAGACAAACGUUAUCCGGAGUUACUGGGCGUAAAGGGCGUGUAGGUGGUUUUGUAAGUCUGGCGUGAAAUUUUUCGGCUUAACCGGGAAAGGUCGUCGGAUACUGCGGGACUAGAGGACGGUAGAGGCGUGUGGAAUUCCGGGUGUAGUGGUGAAAUGCGUAGAGAUCCGGAGGAACACCAGUGGCGAAGGCGACACGCUGGGCCGUACCUGACACUGAUGCGCGACAGCAUGGGGAGCAAACAGGAUUAGAAACCCUGGUAGUCCAUUCCGUAAACGAUGCUAGCUGGGUGUUCAGGGGGGGAAACCCCUCGGGGUACCGAAGUCAACACGGUAAGCUAGCCGCCUGGGGAGUACGGUCGCAAGAUUA
This 374-nucleotide ribosomal RNA is filed under the name uncultured organism. Its description in RNAcentral is "bacterial SSU rRNA". It matches the Rfam family "Bacterial small subunit ribosomal RNA", at positions 526 to 896 of the family's 1533-position model. The record is from RNAcentral.